AGUGAACGCUGGCGGUAGGCCUAACACAUGCAAGUCGAACGGCAGCACAGUAAGAGCUUGCUCUUACGGGUGGCGAGUGGCGGACGGGUGAGGAAUACAUCGGAAUCUACUUUUUCGUGGGGAUAACGUAGGGAAACUUACGCUAAUACCGCAUACGACCUACGGGUGAAAGCAGGGGAUCUUCGGACCUUGCGCGAUUGAAUGAGCCGAUGUCGGAUUAGCUAGUUGGCGGGGUAAAGGCCCACCAAGGCGACGAUCCGUAGCUGGUCUGAGAGGAUGAUUAGCCACACUGGAACUGAGACACGGUCCAGACUCCUACGGGAGGCAGCAGUGGGGAAUAUUGGACAAUGGGCGCAAGCCUGAUCCAGCCAUACCGCGUGGGUGAAGAAGGCCUUCGGGUUGUAAAGCCCUUUUGUUGGGAAAGAAAAGCAGCAGGUUAAUACCCCGCUGUUCUGACGGUACCCAAAGAAUAAGCACCGGCUAACUUCGUG
RNAcentral lists this ribosomal RNA (491 nucleotides) under uncultured bacterium. RNAcentral's name for it is "partial 16S ribosomal RNA". It matches the Rfam family "Bacterial small subunit ribosomal RNA", at positions 29 to 507 of the family's 1533-position model. The record is from RNAcentral.